RNAcentral lists this unclassified non-coding RNA (345 nucleotides) under soil metagenome. RNAcentral's name for it is "partial contains 5.8S ribosomal RNA, internal transcribed spacer 2, and large subunit ribosomal RNA". The stretch from base 1 to 120 matches the Rfam family "5.8S ribosomal RNA", at positions 35 to 154 of the family's 154-position model. The record is from RNAcentral.
GAUGAAGAACGCAGCGAAAUGCGAUACGUAAUAUGAAUUGCAGAAUUCAGUGAAUCAUCGAGUCUUUGAACGCACAUUGCGCCCCCUGGUAUUCCGGGGGGCAUGCCUGUCCGAGCGUCAUUGCUGCCCUCAAGCACGGCUUGUGUGUUGGGCCUCCGUCCUCCUCCCGGGGGACGGGCCCGAAAGGCAGCGGCGGCACCGCGUCCGGUCCUCGAGCGUAUGGGGCUUCGUCACCCGCUCUUGUAGGCCCGGCCGGCGCUUGCCGACACAUCAAUCUUUUUUCCAGGUUGACCUCGGAUCAGGUAGGGAUACCCGCUGAACUUAAGCAUAUCAAUAAGCGGAGGA